This is a long non-coding RNA of Neltuma alba, 4239 nucleotides long. RefSeq lists it as uncharacterized. The record is from RefSeq and is a predicted model, not a curated record. The transcript is spliced from 2 exons. Lineage: Eukaryota; Viridiplantae; Streptophyta; Magnoliopsida; Fabales; Fabaceae.
AUAUUUACAACAAUUCACAACAAAUUUUAUCUAUUUUCCUUGAUCUUGACGAAGUAGGUAUUUUUGUUUAUAAAAACAGAGAUUUCAAUCAAUCGUGUCGUUCUUUUUUGACUUCUCACAAAUAUAAAUAUAAAGUUGAUAGUUGAAUAUACAUUGAAUCGUCAUGUUUUUUUGGAGAAAACCUCUGAAACGGUACAUGGUCAAAAAAGUAGAGAAAAGAAUCUCUUGAAUAGGUUUUUGGAACACGGCAUGUCUUGGAAAAUGUUAACAGACUUCUCAGCGUGCAGCUAGAUGGCCAAAAAGACAGUGCCUAAAUGUGAAGGUGUUUCUGCGUUUUUCAUUUUUGGCUAUGAACUGUGUGAAAAGGAAAAGAAAGCCCCUCCCUCUCUCUUUAAUUGGUACUUCAGAGGCAAAGAAAUGAUCAGCAUUAUAAACGGAGUCGCCCAAUAGGAGUCCAUGAAUGUUGUGUUGAUGAUAUGACAGAAUCCUGUGAAGAAAGAACGGGACUACUGUAGUGUUGCAUGGCUUAAAAGUGGUUCUAAACUGAGUCACCCAAUAUUCAUAUUUCAUAGCUUUCAGUUGUUUCGUUUUUUUUUUAAUCUUUUUCCUCGCGUGAUUCAGUUAUCGAAUUUGAAGCAAAUUUAACAAAAGUGACAAACUCAGUGAAUUUUAAAAAAGGACUUGAUGUUAAUUUUCCCGGGAGCCAAUCCUCCACAGUCCACACCAACUUAAAAGUCAACUUUUACUGAAGCUUUGUCCCAGCGAAUCAGUCAAUAAACAAAGCAAAACGUGCCUCUUUGUGCAUCAAAAGAGAUACGCUUCUUUUUACUAGUGGGCUGUAGAAAUGCGCAUCAUUCAUCCACAGUAACACAGACAGCUUUGUACGUACUCCAUCUUCCCGUUGAUGACUUGAUGACUUUUUUAAAUGCUCCAUUAUUCUUGUCAGGUUUGUUUUCUUAAAUGUAGUUUCAUGUUAUAAAUCCGUCCAUCACCAAUACCCUAAAUUUGCCGCCACUCGAAUAAUACCACUGAGCACUUGCUAAAACUUUUGUGUUCAAGUGACUCAACUGGUGAAGGGCUCAACUUGUCAUAUCAAUGCAUCAAUCACUGCAUCUGAAAUUUUCGUGCUGUAAUCUUCAAACAGAGGAUCCCAGAACAACCCCUGAAACCAACUGAAUGAUUGCUAAAUUCUUUUUUUUUUUUUUUUGGGGAGGGGGGGGACAAGUGGCUUCUGGAAAAAUCUUCCAAAAAAAUUAAGUCAUCUAAAGGAAAAAGAUUUGACCCUGCCACCAGGACUCUGGGGGAAGAUGGUAUUACAUAUGCACUGAUCCCUUUGAAAUAUGUUGUCCUCAAAUAUUUACCUUGAAGUUAUAUAUGCUAUCACCCUCGCUUCUAUCACAUUCGAAAGGUUAAGAUAUUUGCUGAUAUUGGUUUUCUUAGUUGUGUUCUACUGAAUGAUACAAUUGAGAGCGAAUUGUUAAUCUGUUCUCAUUUUGUAGUUUGUUUAUUACAUAUGUGGACUAGACAUCUACUGGACUCCGUGGCGUUCAAAUAUUCUUUUUCUCGACUAAAUUGGGUGAAUGGUUAUAAAAAAAAUUCUACUGCAAAAAAUUAUCAGCCAAUGUGUGCGCACUUUGGAAAUGGUGGGUUAUCUCUAUCUUUCUCGCUCUCUCUGUUUACUGUCAAAUCAACUUUGAUUCCUUGGGGGUUGCAGAGUAAAUUGGCGUUUCAUGUCUCACAUGCUCGCCGCACGAUAUCGCAAGUGCUACGGUGAACUUGUAACCUAAAAGUCUCUUUUUUUUCUUCGCUGUUCGUCUGAUAUUACCUACAAUAAGAUAUCCUUUCAAUUCAUUAUCAGGCUACUCUUCUAUCUUGAUAUUGUGCCAGCUGAAAUGAAUCAUUGUUAAUGACGUUUAAGAAAGAAGCCUAAAGUCUUGGCAGUUACUUAUACUCUGGGCAUGCACGGCAUUUUUUUUUUUUUUUGGGUCUAAAGGAACUUGGUGUCUAAGUUCAAAAAUUUUGUUUUCUUAACAAUCUUUCUAUCUAUUCAUAUAUUUAUGCAACCUGCUAUGGACUGUGAGGCUUAUUUCUACUUCAUGCAAGGUCACCGAAUUUGCCAUUAAACAAUUGCGUGGGUAGCAAUUAUGUUUUCCUUUUAAUAUGUGUUGCAGUUAAUUCUGUCAUUUAGCAAUGGGAUUUUAUAGCAAAUAAAUAGCAUAAAUACCACAGGCUGCAGCAGCUGCUGCCGUGACAUAUGGAGCCAUUUUCUAACAGUACAAACUAGCAUUUGUAUUAACUCUUGAUUUAAUUUAAGUGAUAAAGAGUUACUGAUUAAAGUUUUGACUUUCUUAUGUCAAUGACUGUGAACUAAUAUCAGUUAACCAAAGGAUCAAUCCCUGGGACGGUUUUCUCUUGCAGGAUGACAUCGUGCUAUACAGCUGCACUUGAUGAAUAAAACAAAUUAAUGAAAAGUGACAGCCAAAUGAUUGUUCAGACUAAAUCAAGGUUCAUAUAAUUCACUGUGUUUUCCUAGAUUAUAUCAGAAGAAACGAAUUUCAUGCUAACCCACCACUUUAAUUUAGCACAUAUUUUUAUUAUACUGUGUGAUUGUUGGCUUAUAGACUUUUUUUAUUUGCCUGCAUGUUGAGUUGGAGUACGAAUGACAACUGAGUCGAGAAUUUACCUUCAUAAACGAGAAAUAUAUUCCUGGUUGCUUAUGUUCUUCAUUUCCUGAAGCUCCCUUGGAUAAUAUUUCGUCUUCAAAAAAUCCAAAAGGGUCAUAAUUGCGUGUCCGUCUGUGUUGCCGAAUGAAACAAGCCAAAUGGGACCGGGUGAAAAGGGUUACAUAGCUGCAGCACUGUCAAAUAACCAUUUUCUGAUCUGGUGAUUCUAUAUGGCCCCUUAAUGGCUAUGGUUGCAAUGCGAGUUGGAAUACAAUAAAAUCUGCAGGCUUUUUAGCAGUAUCCCACUACAUGACUGUGCUAGGGGACAAGCGUGAAUCCUUGCGUUAUGAACAUUGAUAAGACUCUGUUUCAGGAAAAAGGUAUGAAUAGGCAUUCCAUUGAGCACAAACAAGACUGAGUUAUGCUGUGCUUGAGCUGCAUGUACUCAGUUUUGUGACUCUCAGUCUUGCUUGCAUUGCACCCGCAUGGUGAUUAUAUAAAGCCUACUUUGGUCACAAAAAGCAUGCUUAGUUUUUUAAUAUUAUAUGCCUUCCUUUCUACUCUAGUUGGUUUUUUCGCUUAGGAUCCCAACAUCUGUCUCUUGCCUGAGGAUCAUUACCCAAACGAGAAAUACAACUAACCCUUAACAAAAAUAGGAUUUCUGAUCUAGAGCACCCCUCCUCGCCGGAAAAAAUAGAGAUCAAUCCGUACAGAUAAAAAGUUAAGGACGUGAGGGAUCACGCCUUAAUUAAGUUAGAUUAUUACCAUGAGUUACAGCUGAGUAUGACUGUUUGUAUCUAAGUGCUCUCUCUCUCUCUCUCUCUCUCUCUCAGAGACUGCACAGGUUAAAGUUUUCUGUUAUUUAUGGAAUAUUUUAUGCACUUGAGAUGCCCAUUAUUGUACUUCAUCUUCUUGAAAAAUCAAAUAUUAAGAUAAAUCAAAUCAUGUAUGUAAAGUUGAUUUUAUACUAUGUGAUUAUCUUAUUGAUUUUGUGCUAUCUUUCUCAAAGUUAGAAAUUAAAAAAAAAAAAAAAAGCAGUAAGGGCAGCCGGGCAACUGAGAUGGUGGGGCCAUAAUUCUCUUGCAAGUGUGCAAGACUAAGAGGUGUAGGCUGCUAUUGUUCAAACAGGACUAUGAUAGUCCAAUUAGGACUAUAAAAUUUAAUACGAAAAGAAGAAAAAGGAAGUUGGGACUCCACUUGAUGUUCAAUCAAAUCCCAGAUGGGGCAGAGAUAGUGUUGUUUUGAAGAUUCAUGCUGUCUCCUACCCCUUUACCUAAAAGUCUUUGUUCUGAUUAUGACAACCAUUUCACAUGUUGAACUUGGACACAUUACUAAAGUGCUUGUUUGAGGGUAGUAAUUCUUUUUUCACCUUUUUAUUUUGGAGUGCUGGUUUAAGUGUUGUCCUGCUUGGUUGCUCUUUUUGGUUGGAUUUGGGCUUUUGGGCAUUCUCUGCUGGCUUUAUUUUGUUCUAUUUUUAUGAAAAACAAAUCAUACAAAAAAUCGAAGCUUGUUAACAUGCCGACAUAAUUAGGUGACGGAGAAAGUGAUUAUCAAAUAGUCUAAACUUUGAUUAUCA